AUUAAGCAAUGGGGGGUCUAUCUGCAGUCGACGCUUUGUGGUUCACUGAUUUGAAGAGCUUGCUCAGAUAUGACGAUGGACAUUGCAAAGAGUGGCGAACGGGUGAGUAACACGUGGGAAACCUACCUCUUAGCAGGGGAUAACAUUUGGAAACAGAUGCUAAUACCGUAUAACAAUAGCAACCGCAUGGUUGCUACUUAAAAGAUGGUUCUGCUAUCACUAAGAGAUGGUCCCGCGGUGCAUUAGUUAGUUGGUGAGGUAAUGGCUCACCAAGACGAUGAUGCAUAGCCGAGUUGAGAGACUGAUCGGCCACAAUGGGACUGAGACACGGCCCAUACUCCUACGGGAGGCAGCAGUAGGGAAUCUUCCACAAUGGGCGAAAGCCUGAUGGAGCAACGCCGCGUGUGUGAUGAAGGGUUUCGGCUCGUAAAACACUGUUGUAAGAGAAGAAUGACAUUGAGAGUAACUGUUCAAUGUGUGACGGUAUCUUACCAGAAAGGAACGGCUAAAUACGUGCCAGCAGCCGCGGUAAUACGUAUGUUCCAAGCGUUAUCCGGAUUUAUUGGGCGUAAAGCGAGCGCAGACGGUUAUUUAAGUCUGAAGUGAAAGCCCUCAGCUCAACUGAGGAAUUGCUUUGGAAACUGGAUGACUUGAGUGCAGUAGAGGAAAGUGGAACUCCAUGUGUAGCGGUGAAAUGCGUAGAUAUAUGGAAGAACACCAGUGGCGAAGGCGGCUUUCUGGACUGUAACUGACGUUGAGGCUCGAAAGUGUGGGUAGCAAACAGGAUUAGAUACCCUGGUAGUCCACACCGUAAACGAUGAGUGCUAGGUGUUUGAGGGUUUCCGCCCUUAAGUGCCGCAGCUAACGCAUUAAGCACUCCGCCUGGGGAGUACGACCGCAAGGUUGAAACUCAAAGGAAUUGACGGGGACCCGCACAAGCGGUGGGAGCAUGUGGGUUUAAUUCGAAGCAACGCGAAGAACCUUUACCAGGUCUUGACAUCCCUUUGACACUCCAGAGAUGGAGCGUUCCCUUUCGGGGACAGUGACAGGUGUGCAUGAUGUCGUCAGCUCGUGUCGUGAGAUGUGGAUAGUCCCGCACGAGCGCACCCCUUAAUAACUAGCUGGCAGGCAAUUUCAGUUGGCACUCUAGUGGAGACUGCGGUUGACCAAGCGGAGAAGGGUGGGGGGAUG
RNAcentral lists this ribosomal RNA (1191 nucleotides) under Weissella confusa. RNAcentral describes it as "bacterial SSU rRNA". It matches the Rfam family "Bacterial small subunit ribosomal RNA", at positions 48 to 1181 of the family's 1533-position model. The record is from RNAcentral. Lineage: Bacteria; Bacillati; Bacillota; Bacilli; Lactobacillales; Lactobacillaceae.